ACGUCCAAGUGGGAGUACUCCUUCUAAGCUAAAUAUCACCACGAGACCGAUAGCGAACAAGUACCGUGAGGGAAAGUUGAAAAGCACUCUGAAUAGAGAGUCAAAAAGUACGUGAAACUGCCUAGGGCUCAAGCCCGUUGAACUCGAUUAUCCGAGCGGAGACAUUCACCUGCGGUCGGCCGGCGCUCCCACCGAGUGCCGGUAAGCCGCAGGGCACUUGUCUCCCGCGUUCCACGAGGACAUUGCGAUCCAUUACGAAACGGCUUUGGCGGGUGUCGCAAGACGCCUGCAAGGUUGCCCGACAGUUGCCCCUUGGUGCCGGUUGUUUGCCCCACAGUAGCGACGCUCAGUUCCGAAGGCCUGUGCCGCGAGCUGGGGCAUUACUGCACGUGGUGUUUUGCAGUCGGGCGCGUGAUGGAUUUCCGCGUACACCGCCGGCCUUCCCGCAUAGGGCCCGUGCGGACUGUCGAUCGGCAAUGAUAAAAUCGAGGUACCUCCGGGACCCGUCUUGAAACACGGAAAGAAAAAAUCCCCAA
This 536-nucleotide ribosomal RNA is filed under the name Aedes gilli. RNAcentral describes it as "eukaryotic LSU rRNA". It matches the Rfam family "Eukaryotic large subunit ribosomal RNA", at positions 284 to 664 of the family's 3401-position model. Lineage: Eukaryota; Metazoa; Arthropoda; Insecta; Diptera; Culicidae. The record is from RNAcentral.